GACGAACGCUGGCGGCGUGCUUAACACAUGCAAGUCGAACGGAAAGGCCCUGCUUUUGUGGGGUGCUCGAGUGGCGAACGGGUGAGUAACACGUGAGUAACCUGCCCUUGACUUUGGGAUAACUUCAGGAAACUGGGGCUAAUACCGGAUAGGAGCUCCUGCUGCAUGGUGGGGGUUGGAAAGUUUCGGCGGUUGGGGAUGGACUCGCGGCUUAUUAGCUUGUUGGUGGGGUAGUGGCUUACCAAGGCUUUGACGGGUAGCCGGCCUGAGAGGGUGACCGGCCACAUUGGGACUGAGAUACGGCCCAGACUCCUACGGGAGGCAGCAGUGGGGAAUAUUGCACAAUGGGCGGAAGCCUGAUGCAGCAACGCCGCGUGCGGGAUGACGGCCUUCGGGUUGUAAACCGCUUUCGCCUGUGACGAAGCGUGAGUGACGGUAAUGGGUAAAGAAGCGCCGGCUAACUACGUG
Molecule: ribosomal RNA, 468 nt
Filed under: uncultured bacterium
Lineage: Bacteria
Description: partial 16S ribosomal RNA
Rfam family: Bacterial small subunit ribosomal RNA
Source: RNAcentral